GCGCCCGUAGCUCAGUAGGAUAGAGCAACGGAUUUCUAAUCCGUCGGUCGGGGGUUCGAAUCCCUCCGGGCGUG
This 74-nucleotide transfer RNA is filed under the name Planctomycetaceae bacterium. RNAcentral's name for it is "tRNA-Arg". It matches the Rfam family "tRNA". From Rfam's summary of the family: Transfer RNA (tRNA) molecules are approximately 80 nucleotides in length. The record is from RNAcentral. Lineage: Bacteria; Pseudomonadati; Planctomycetota; Planctomycetia; Planctomycetales; Planctomycetaceae. RNAcentral also lists the same sequence under 1 other name.